ACCUGGCUGGCUCAGUUGGAAGAGCGUGGGACUCUUAAUCUUGGGGUUGUGAGUUCCAGCCCCAUGUUGGGUG
Molecule: transfer RNA, 73 nt
Filed under: Canis lupus familiaris (dog)
Lineage: Eukaryota; Metazoa; Chordata; Mammalia; Carnivora; Canidae
Also listed under: 1 other name
Rfam family: tRNA
About the family: Transfer RNA (tRNA) molecules are approximately 80 nucleotides in length. Their secondary structure includes four short double-helical elements and three loops (D, anti-codon, and T loops).
Source: Rfam by way of RNAcentral